CUAUCUAGAAACAGUUGUUUUUGUUUUCUUUCUGAAAGCUAUCUAGAAACAGUUGUUUUUGUUUUCUUUCUGAAAGCUAUCUAGAAACAGUUGUUUUUUUUGGAAAGUUUAUUUUCGAAAAAAACGAAACAAGUAUUAACAGUAUUUGCAGACACGGAAGACUGGGGGUUCAGGGGGGAUUGUGUUUUGGUUAAAUCAAUACAUUUGGAUGCACUUCAGACACAACAGAUUGAGUGUAAACAACUUUGCUCAGAUAACAAGGAUUUGCCCAGUGAUGUAUUCACAGGUGGAUAUUUUAACGAUGUUCCAUAAAAUGUUUCAUGUUGGAUUAUAAUUAUAAUUCCUUAUUUUCCUGAGACUGAAAGUAGAUCCUUGUUUGACUAUAGUAGAUUGCCAUGAUAAGAUUCCUAUAUAGGAUCAGCCUUAUAGGAUCCUACACCACAGCUCUUUGGGACACGGAAAUGGGCAUUCCAUUGUACUGGUACAGUAGUAUUCCGAUCUGCAUGUCCCUAUGUGUUCAAACCACCGACCUUCCAGAAGAUUCAACUAUGCAUUGAAUUAGUGUUGCAACGAGGACGACCACCUUAAAAAAAUACAGGUCGACAAAUGCCCUCGUAGCGUUUACCUGAUGUGGUAUCUAAAAACUAUAAAUAUUAUUUUGUAAGCGUAGUUAAAUGGUAAGAUUUGAAUCUUUCACUGUUUUUAUGACCUGAGCAUGAACCCUAUUAGAAAACUAGUACCGAGGAGGAGGGGCAUGUUAUAGUACUAUCAGCCCUAUUUUCUGGCUUGUUGGCAUAGUAGGCGCUGCUCCCCUUUUAAAACUACCCAGAUGGGUAUAGAGACCCUCCUGCUGUCCACCCAUGCACCUCUAUCCCCUCCUCAACCAGAUGAUGUGCCCUCCCCUCACUGGCUGUCCCACUUUGAGAGCCAGACCAUAGAGAUGCACUGUUCAUACUAUAAAGAUAAAGAUGAGACGUAGGGUAAAAAUAACUUCAAAGUAGAGAUCUUUCACGGCGUGCUUAGGAGUUAGACACUUCUUAGGCCGCUAGAGUCUAGAUUGAGUGUUCAUCCCUUGCUACGUACCCUGAAGUGCUGAUGACUAUAUUUCUUAACGUGGGAAGUGUUUUUUGAUGACUCAGUAGUAUAAGAUAAGUAUGAAGUCUUUUCUUUGCCACUAGUCCAUCCGCCUGUCCGGCAACUAGCUGGACACCACUGCAUGAAGAGGCAGCUUGCAGGCUGGGUUCAAGGGGGAGUGGAGAGGGGUGGGCUGAGUGGUACGACGUCUGGGUUUGUACAAUUAGAUUGACGGGGACGGGGACGGGCAAUGACCUUGGCUCUACUCACUGAAUGUACACAGGCCCCACUGUUGACCCUCCCUCCUAGUCCACCCCGAAACGUCCUCUAAUGCACUGACCCAGGUUAGAGGUCAACAGAGCCAAGCACAUCCCUCCAUGUCACAGAGGAGAUACCACUUCAGAAGCAGGGAGGAAGGACAGAGUUAGCUCUUCGCUGUAUCUAUCCCCUUAGUGUAAAUGCAUUCUGGCAACGCUAACCUUAGACUCUCCCCUUGCUUCCAUCCCUCCAACCCUGGUCCUGUGAAGGCUCUUCCCCUCUGUAAAUAAACACUAGUCCUGUCGAUGGUAUGAGCCAAUUGUUUGUAUAGUACGGACCACAUCCAGAAUUGUCAAACUAAAAGUCCUCUCUCGUCAAGGCGUGGCUUACUGGAAUGUGUUGUAUUUGUUUUUCAAGAAAAAUAAGAAACCCACAAUGGGGGGAGAAAAAAAAAAACGAUCUCUGAAAUGUUCUUCAACAGUUUGUAUUGCAAAUGUAGUAACUAAGCACCAUGAAGGCCAACUAACUAACUCUUCAGUGUAAAUAUAAAGAAAGUUGCUAAUAACUUUAGACGAUAAGUAAACAGAGUGACACACACGUAGACUAGUUAACUUGUGAUAUGUGUUGCGCAUAUUAUUGUGUUUAUUUUCUCUCUCUCUAUUUUACUACCCUGUAAAAGAAACGAAACACAAAAAAAAAUUAUAUUGAAAAAAAUGUUUCUAUCCUUCUGUAACUUUUUUUUCUGUGCUUUAUCUUGUGCAUUUGCGCAAAGAAUGCCUCUCUGUCCAUAUGAGCAAAUGAUUAUAAAUAUUAUGUGUGUGUGUACGUCCGUCCGCUGCUGAAUUAAUCCUCUCUCGUGCUGUAAUAUCUUUCUUAUGAAAUGCUUAGACCUCCUGCGCUCCUCCCGGUGUUUAGUCUCUUCAUUUUUAUGCUAAUAUUUAUAUUGCUGUUUUAUUUUCUCUUGAACACUGCCAUUUCAAAUAAAAGGCUCUGAAAUCAUUAAAACGCUCAUCUUCCGUCUUCUCUAAACAUCCGUCUUGGUUUGUACGGUAACUAAAACACAAUCACUUUAUUUUUCCCAAGGGAACUUAAAGGUGGGG
Molecule: long non-coding RNA, 2432 nt
Organism: Oncorhynchus tshawytscha (Chinook salmon)
Lineage: Eukaryota; Metazoa; Chordata; Actinopteri; Salmoniformes; Salmonidae
Source: Ensembl